GAUGAAGAACGCAGCGAAAUGCGAUAAUUAAUGUGAAUUGCAGAAUUCCGUGAAUCAUCGAGUCUUUGAACGCACAUUGCGCCCCCUGGUAUUCCGGGGGGCAUGCCUGUCCGAGCGUCAUUGCUGCCCUCAAGCACGGCUUGUGUGUUGGGCCUCCGUCCUCCUCCCGGGGGACGGGCCCGAAAGGCAGCGGCGGCACCGCGUCCGGUCCUCGAGCGUAUGGGGCUUCGUCACCCGCUCUUGUAGGCCCGGCCGGCGCUUGCCGACACAUCAAUCUUUUUUCCAGGUUGACCUCGGAUCAGGUAGGGAUACCCGCUGAACUUAAGCAUAUAAAAAGCGGAGGA
Molecule: unclassified non-coding RNA, 344 nt
Filed under: soil metagenome
Description: partial contains 5.8S ribosomal RNA, internal transcribed spacer 2, and large subunit ribosomal RNA
Rfam family: 5.8S ribosomal RNA (bases 1-120)
Source: RNAcentral